This 253-nucleotide ribosomal RNA is filed under the name uncultured Acidobacteriota bacterium. RNAcentral's name for it is "uncultured Acidobacteria bacterium partial 16S ribosomal RNA". It matches the Rfam family "Bacterial small subunit ribosomal RNA", at positions 524 to 776 of the family's 1533-position model. The record is from RNAcentral. Lineage: Bacteria; Pseudomonadati; Acidobacteriota.
UACAGAGGGGGCAAGCGUUAUUCGGAAUCAUUGGGCGUAAAGGGCGCGUAGGCGGCUUUGCAAGUGACGGGUGAAAGCCCUCGGCUUAACCGAGGAACUGCCUGUCAGACUGUGAGGCUUGAGACCAGGAGAGGUGAGUGGAAUUCCCAGUGUAGCGGUGAAAUGCGUAGAUAUUGGGAGGAACACCAGUGGCGAAGGCGGCUCACUGGACUGGUACUGACGCUGAGGCGCGAAAGCAUGGGGAGCAAACAGG